CCUACGGGUGGCAGCAGUGGGGAAUAUUGCACAAUGGGGGAAACCCUGAUGCAGCGACGCCGCGUGAGUGAAGAAGUAACUCGGUAUGUAAAGCUCUAUCAGAAGGGAAGAUAAUGACGGUACCUGACCAAGAAGCACCGGCUAACUACGUGCCAGCAGCCGCGGUAAUACGUAGGGGGCAAGCGUUAUCCGGAUUUACUGGGUGUAAAGGGAGCGUAGACGGCAGCACAAGUCUGGAGUGAACUCCCGGGGCUUAACCCCGGAACUGCUUUGGAAACUGUGCGGCUGGAGUGCAGGAGGGGUAAGCGGAAUGCCUAGUGUAGCGGUGAAAUGCGUAGAUAUUAGGAGGAACACCGGUGGCGAAGGCGGCUUACUGGACUGUAACUGACGUUGAGGCUCGAAAGCGUGGGGAGCAAACAGGAUUAGAUACCCGAGUAGUC
This 440-nucleotide ribosomal RNA is filed under the name uncultured bacterium. RNAcentral describes it as "partial 16S ribosomal RNA". It matches the Rfam family "Bacterial small subunit ribosomal RNA", at positions 338 to 795 of the family's 1533-position model. The record is from RNAcentral.